CGGCAAAAGGACUCCCUGGUUCGUCUCCGGUUCGCGCCAAAACGGCCUCUGCCCUGCACCUCGCCCUCUCGCCUUGGGCACGCACGACCCACCGCACAGUGCACUGCGAGAAAAAAAGUACAUAAAAAGAGCCUUGGAAGUCCGCCCGGUUUGGACGGGCUGGCCCGCGGCGUGCCGUGGAUGCAUCGGCCUUCGCAGCCAGGAUGGGCAGAGGCAUCGUCGGCCACCUGGUGCUCGUCACAUCCCUGCUGGCUCUGCGAGUGUCGGCGGCAACGCGGAGCCGUGCCGACCGCGACUGGCAGUGGCAGAAGUCUACGCGCCUCGUGCCCAAGAUCCAUGGCGUCACGGACUGUUCUGCUAAACACUACUCCACCAUCGACAACGUUACCAUCUUGCUCGGAGACGACGGCGGAGAUUACGUGACUGUGAGGUGCACGUCUCAUCGAGUCAUGAAGACAAUAUCCAAAUUCGCUUUGAUUAUCAACCGCUGCCAACCUGGUCCAGUAAGCGCUGGAAGCUGCGAGUACUACCGAACGCUCACGUGGACCACAGGCGUAUGCAGUUUCAUUGAAGCGAAAGGAGUGAUAUGGACAACCUUUGUCGAAAGUUUCAACCCACCAGCAAAAUGCCCAAUUGACCAGGUGAUGUUGCAGCUUUUCGAGUGCUCUCCUAUAUGGAAGAAACGGUUCCUGGUUUUCCGAGGAAGCCCAUGGACCCAAAUACCAUCGGUUGCUAUGUUCAAUGAGCUAAGAGAAGAAGAAAGGAUGGAGCAAUUAUAGCGGCUUCCCCACCCGCGCGCUGCUACCCCGCUCGGAGGAUAACAAACCCACCCUUGAUCUGAACACAACAAAGCAGCCCCACUACGAAGUAGUCAACGGGACGAUCAACAUGAAGCGCCUCGACACUCUGACAAGAGGUCUCAACAUAGAAAAGCACACGUGGAAGGUAGAAGUUCGUCUGUACAAUGAACUGAGAGAUUUGAUUCUCUGCGCGAUAGUGGUUGGGGAGCCUAGACGCAUGUUUGUAAAAAAAGGAGUGGAUUCACCGUGAGAUCGACAUUUUUGUCUUGAAAAUAAUUUUAUGCCAUUUCAGCACAUCUUGAAGUCUUGAGCGGAAGUGAUCAUAGUCGGCAAGAUGAUUCCUUGUUUCAUACACCAUGAGUUACAAUCAAACUUGUUUCAGUGAAUUUCGCAGGAGAAUAAUACGAAGCCACAAUUUAAAAAAAAAUAUAUGAGAAAUACAGAGAAAACCCUUUUGCAAAACGAAGAAAAACUGUGCGCUUGCGCUAGUGUCUCCCGGAUUUAGAGUGUGGUCUGAAGCAAUAAGAAUGGUGACAAAAAUGAAUAAAGCUGCAAGAUGC
Molecule: RNA transcript, 1360 nt
Organism: Thrips palmi
Lineage: Eukaryota; Metazoa; Arthropoda; Insecta; Thysanoptera; Thripidae
Exons: 6
Source: RefSeq, a predicted model, not a curated record